Molecule: long non-coding RNA, 465 nt
Organism: Dermochelys coriacea (leatherback sea turtle)
Lineage: Eukaryota; Metazoa; Chordata; Testudines; Dermochelyidae
Exons: 4
Source: RefSeq, a predicted model, not a curated record
GACUGGAGCUUGGAGGUGUGUUGUGAGAGCUGAAAGACCAGAGAACUGAAGUGCAGCAUCUAUCAUUAUUUGUCAUCAGAGUGCUUGUAUCUGGCAGUGGUGGAUAAGAGUACAGAAACUAUGGACUAACAGACUUUGGAAAUGUGACUUGCAUCAAGAGGGUGCACAGAGAAUCUUGCUGAGAGGCUAAACCUCACAUGGAAGGAGGACUACUUGUGCGAUGAAAGACUGCUUAUGUGUAUAAAUCCCCAAUGACUGAAGGAUAGCCCUGGAGUCUUUGGAUGUGUGAAGGGAUGUGUCUGUCUUUUCUGCAAAUAAUUUGGAGCCUUUGAAGAGAAGGUUCUCCAUGGUUGUCUGCAUCAAGCGCCGAUUGAAGUGCCGUCUUGGGCUCCAGUUGUCCUUCAUUAAUAAUGGCCCUAAACUGAGCCUUAUGUGAUUCCAGAAGCUGAUCAAUAAACAAAUUGA